GAUGAACGCUAGCGGCAGGCUUAAUACAUGCAAGUCGAGGGGCAGCGGGAGUAGCAAUACUUGCCGGCGACCGGCGCACGGGUGCGUAACACGUAUGUAAUCUGCCCAUCACAGGAGGAUAGCCCGGAGAAAUUCGGAUUAAUACUCCAUAAUAGAAGAUAAAGCAUUUUAUUUCUUGAAAGUUCCGACGGUGAUGGAUGAACAUGCGACUGAUUAGUUUGUUGGUGAGGUAACGGCUCACCAAGACUACGAUCAGUAGGGGUACUGAGAGGUUAAACCCCCACACUGGUACUGAGACACGGACCAGACUCCUACGGGAGGCAGCAGUAAGGAAUAUUGGACAAUGGCCGCAAGGCUGAUCCAGCCAUGCCGCGUGCAGGAAGACGGACCUGUGGUUUGUAAACU
Molecule: ribosomal RNA, 405 nt
Filed under: uncultured bacterium
Lineage: Bacteria
Description: bacterial SSU rRNA
Rfam family: Bacterial small subunit ribosomal RNA
Source: RNAcentral